UCCUCACCUACCAAAAAUGAUACAACUACCAAAAAUGUCAAAUAAAAUUAAAUAAAGCAAUUCCGCACAGAUGAUGUCCGCACCCCAAGAAAUUAUAAUAAACUCAAAAAUACCCCAAAAUCUGAUUGUCAUGUGUACAAGCCUCUAAAGUAUUACAAUUGAAUCAAAAGAAAAAUAUAAGUCUCAUAUGACAUUGUUUCUAGAGUAGAACAAGAUCAUAAACAAGAGUAAGAAGGUCUGCUGAGUUGACAAACAACUACCUCACAAAUCUCCA
RNAcentral lists this long non-coding RNA (274 nucleotides) under Solanum tuberosum (potato). Its description in RNAcentral is "long non-coding RNA (STUB_LNC003500)". Lineage: Eukaryota; Viridiplantae; Streptophyta; Magnoliopsida; Solanales; Solanaceae. The record is from RNAcentral.